AAGUCGUAACAAGGUUUCCGUAGGUGAACCUGCGGAAGGAUCAUUAUAGAGGUUUAUCCUUUUCUGUGAAUUUUAUAUCUGGCAUUGAGAGUGUAGCAAGAGCUUUUUACCGUAAUAUACCAUGGUGAUCAGCAACGACGGCGACCACUUCGAUGCCAAACUUUACACAAUAUAUCGUCUGAAGAAAAGAAAUGAAAAA
This 199-nucleotide unclassified non-coding RNA is filed under the name plant metagenome. Its description in RNAcentral is "partial contains small subunit ribosomal RNA and internal transcribed spacer 1". The stretch from base 1 to 46 matches the Rfam family "Eukaryotic small subunit ribosomal RNA", at positions 1786 to 1831 of the family's 1831-position model. The record is from RNAcentral.